GGGGCAGUGGCUCAAGCAGUAGAGCAUCUGCCUAACAAGCACAAGGCUCUGAGUUCAAAUCCUAGCACUUCUC
This 73-nucleotide transfer RNA is filed under the name Dipodomys ordii (Ord's kangaroo rat). It matches the Rfam family "tRNA". Rfam says of the family: Transfer RNA (tRNA) molecules are approximately 80 nucleotides in length. Their secondary structure includes four short double-helical elements and three loops (D, anti-codon, and T loops). Further hydrogen bonds mediate the characteristic L-shaped molecular structure. tRNAs have two regions of fundamental functional importance: the anti-codon, which is responsible for specific mRNA codon recognition, and the 3' end, to which the tRNAs corresponding amino acid is attached (by aminoacyl-tRNA synthetases). tRNAs cope with the degeneracy of the genetic code in two manners: having more than one tRNA (with a specific anti-codon) for a particular amino acid; and 'wobble' base-pairing, i.e. permitting non-standard base-pairing at the 3rd anti-codon position. Lineage: Eukaryota; Metazoa; Chordata; Mammalia; Rodentia; Heteromyidae. The record is from Rfam by way of RNAcentral.